GUGACCCCAGGAUGGGCGAGGCCACCCGCUGAGUUUAAG
Molecule: ribosomal RNA, 39 nt
Filed under: Fernandezia ionanthera
Lineage: Eukaryota; Viridiplantae; Streptophyta; Magnoliopsida; Asparagales; Orchidaceae
Also listed under: 42 other names
Description: partial 26S ribosomal RNA
Source: RNAcentral